AUUGUAAUUAACUAAUGCCAACUUUACCCUUUCUUGAAAUCAGAUUAGGGCUUCAGUGUGAGCAGCCACUCACUCUAUUUUCUCAUUCGUGCUUCAAAGUGUGGCUUUUAGCCUCUGCGUCGCCAGUGUCAGCACAGUCCCGUCGUCACCGCCGUCAUAACCACCGCAAGGAUAACGUACAAGGAACCUAGUUGAGAGAGUCUUCGUUGUUGCUGUCGCUGUCGUGUUCAUCAAACUUCGUUGUUGUCAUCACAGUUUGCAUAACCUAGGAAGAAAUGGAGCGGUCGAAAAUUAUUAAGCGAUGUGUGUCUUUUUAUGAAGAGAUGAGAUCUAACCAUGAAGACUUGAUGUUGUUCUUUAUGCUUACGCUAUUUGUUUACUUUAGGGAUAGAACUAGUGGCCAAUUAUCGUUAGGUGGAAGAAUGAAUAGUAGAGUUAGACGUGAGGCUUUAGAGCGUAUCAUUGGUGAGGGUGAUAGGAAUUGUAUCUGGGAGUUGAGAAUGAACACAAAUGCCUUUGCUAAUUUGUGUGAGUUGCUCCAAGUUCAAGGAGGACUUACCGAGGAUGGUCAUGUAAGCCUGCCGGAGCAGGUUGCGACUUUCUUAAUUAUCUUAGCGCAUCACAAAAAAAAUCGUAGUCUGCAGGUUAGAUUUUGUAGGUCCGGCGAGACAGUUAGUAAGUAUUUUAAUAAAGUUUUGAAAGCUGUGAUACGGAUUCAAAGCAUUUUGUUUGCCAAGGCUACACCAGUUGAAGAGGAUUGUCUUGACCCCACAUGGAGAAAGUUUAAGAUAGAGCUUAUUCGAUGUUGUGUAUGUUUGGGUAUUUUUUGAAGGAUUCUAUAUCUGAGUAUCAUAACUUUCUAUGGAUGAUAGGGUUGCUUGGGAGCAUUAGAUGGCACUUAUAUAGAGGUGACAGUCCCCGAGUCGGAGAAGGCAAGAUACCAAACAAGAAAGGGUAAAAUAUGCACCAAUGUCUUAGGUGUGUGUAACCAGGAGAUGGGUUUUCUCUAUGUACUCAGUGGAUGGGAGGGAUCGGCGUCUGAUUCACGGGUACUUUGAGAUGCAAUAACUCUUCGUAAUAGUCUUAAGAUACCCCACGGUAAUUACUAUUUAGUUGAUGCUGGUUACACAAAUGGUCCGAGGUUUCUCGCACCGUAUAGAGGCACUCGAUAUCAUGUAAGAGAGUGGGCCCAAGGAGCACGUGCACCACACAAUUACCAAGAAUAUUUUAAUAGGGUUCAUUCUUCCGCAAGGAAUAACAUUGAGCGAUGCUUUGGUUUGCUGAAAAAGAGGUGGUCCAUCUUAAGAAGCCCUAACUUUUACCCUCUAAAGACACAAUCUCAGAUAAUUAUUGCCUGUUGUUUGCUGCAAAAUUUCAUUCGAAAGAGUAUGGAGAUGGAUCCGGAGGAGGAAGGUAGCAUAUUGGAUGAAUUUCUGCCUGAUGGAGACGAAGAACAGGAUGGAAUGAUUGAUGUGGUUGAAAACACGAACGAGUGGACUCACUGGCGUGACAACAUAGCAACUGAGAUGUAUGAAGAGUGGCAUGCAGGUCGUAUGGGUGACUCUGGUGUUGGCAAGAGCAGCCUCCUUCUCUUCUUGCUUUCACACUAAGCAAUGGAAGGAAAGAUCUAUAAUAUAUACAAGCCUCAGCCAUUCAUGUUUUCCUUUUUUUUAAAUAUUAACUUCAUAAAAAAUUUGUUAAAUGCGGUUUAUUUUUUCACAGGCACAUCUGACCAAGUUCUACAGUCAUGGCAAGCCAUUUCCUCUUUUUCACCGACUGGAGGGUAUAUUUGGCAGGGAUAGAGCCACAGGAGUAGCAGCAGUUAGUGGUUUUGAUGCGGAGGAACAUGUUAACAAAGAGACAGAAGACACUGCAGUUGGAUUUGAUGAGUCUGAUAUGUCUCCACAUCCAGACAACGGUGGAGGGCCAGCAAUGCAAGGAUAAGGUUCACAAUCUGAAGCAGGUGCGAGUGCAGGAAGCACAAGGCGAUAUGGGAGAAAGAGAAAACAACUUGACGUACUGGAGAGGAUGGCCGACCAUAUUCAGCAAUCUUCAGCUGACCAAAGGAAGAAUGCACAACUGAUAGCUGAUGCCAUUGUUGGAGUAAACGAGAAGUGGAAGGUUGGCGAGAAGCUCACACAGCUUGGGUUCAGUGAUGACGAGGUGGUGAGGGUGAUUUUGAAGUUUGCUAAAAGUCCUAACGUGUAUGCACACUUCUGGGGCUUGUCAGAUUCACAGAUGAUUGGCCUUGUCCGCUCCAUUAUAUGAAGUUGACUGUUAGUUAAGGGUAUUAGGUUUGGGCUAGGGUAUUAAGUUUUUUACUGUAGGGUUUUAGGAUUUUGGGAGUAGGUUAUGUUUAAGAUGAUAUAACGUACAAACUUAUAUUUGGUAUGCAUUUGGAUAGAUAUUUUGAAAAUGCCUUUAUUUUGCUCUGUUCAAAAUAGGUGUAGGUUCUUUGUACAGUUUUAUUGGUAUUGUGGUAUGGCCUUUAUUUUGGUGGUUUGAGCAGGAAUUUUUUACUAAGUACAAUAUUUAUGGUCAUGAUCUUGUUAAUGACAAUUAUCUUUUAAUUUUUGGUCA
Arachis ipaensis is the source of this 2580-nucleotide non-coding RNA. Lineage: Eukaryota; Viridiplantae; Streptophyta; Magnoliopsida; Fabales; Fabaceae. The record is from RefSeq and is a predicted model, not a curated record.